RNAcentral lists this ribosomal RNA (710 nucleotides) under uncultured beta proteobacterium. Its description in RNAcentral is "bacterial SSU rRNA". It matches the Rfam family "Bacterial small subunit ribosomal RNA", at positions 48 to 756 of the family's 1533-position model. Lineage: Bacteria; Pseudomonadati; Pseudomonadota; Betaproteobacteria. The record is from RNAcentral.
CUUACACAUGCAAGUCGAACGGUAACAGGUCUUCGGAUGCUGACGAGUGGCGAACGGGUGAGUAAUACAUCGGAACGUGCCCGAUCGUGGGGGAUAACGAAGCGAAAGCUUUGCUAAUACCGCAUACGAUCUACGGAUGAAAGCAGGGGACCGCAAGGCCUUGCGCGAACGGAGCGGCCGAUGGCAGAUUAGGUAGUUGGUGGGAUAAAAGCUUACCAAGCCGACGAUCUGUAGCUGGUCUGAGAGGACGACCAGCCACACUGGGACUGAGACACGGCCCAGACUCCUACGGGAGGCAGCAGUGGGGAAUUUUGGACAAUGGGCGAAAGCCUGAUCCAGCCAUGCCGCGUGCAGGAUGAAGGCCUUCGGGUUGUAAACUGCUUUUGUACGGAACGAAAAGACUCUGGUUAAUACCUGGGGUCCAUGACGGUACCGUAAGAAUAAGCACCGGCUAACUACGUGCCAGCAGCCGCGGUAAUACGUAGGGUGCAAGCGUUAAUCGGAAUUACUGGGCGUAAAGCGUGCGCAGGCGGUUAUAUAAGACAGAUGUGAAAUCCCCGGGCUCAACCUGGGAACUGCAUUUGUGACUGUAUAGCUAGAGUACGGCAGAGGGGGAUGGAAUUCCGCGUGUAGCAGUGAAAUGCGUAGAUAUGCGGAGGACACCGAUGGCGAAGGCAAUCCCCUGGGCCUGUACUGACGCUCAUGCACGA